This is a long non-coding RNA of Cyprinus carpio (common carp), 1151 nucleotides long. The record is from Ensembl. Lineage: Eukaryota; Metazoa; Chordata; Actinopteri; Cypriniformes; Cyprinidae.
AAGAAUUGAAACACUUAGCAGGUACUGGCCCAAGUCUGGGUACUAAAACUGAGUCAACACCACUGGCAUUGGGCCACAAUCACACUGACGAGAAAUAAAACACUUAGCCAAUACUGGCCCGAGUCUGGGUACUGGAACUGGUACUGGCUAAGAGUACCAUUUUGGUUGGUGUGAGAUAUAUAUAUAUAUAUAUAUGUAGCCAAGUGAAGAAAUGUAAAAAAACCUAAAUUGGUUGUGGGUCCUUUAAGAAACAGUGUUUGCAACACUUGCUUUGCGGCACCCCGCAUGUAACACAUACGCGCGUAUUUCAGUGUGAGCAGAGCAAUGCUCUGGGUUUGGUGCCAUUAUUCUGACUUUGGCAAGGUAAAUGUACAUUCUUACUGAAGUUGUGAACAAAUUGCAUAAAAUGCGUACGUGAGAGUAGUAUGUCAAUAAUGAAUGUUUCAUGGAUUGUAUUUAAGGACGUUUAUGGAUUGCAUGUGUGAGGUGGAUCUGGUUUGAUCACGUUUCGGGGCACGUGCAAAGACUGGGUUUUUCAUUAUGUUCUGCAUGGAAUCGGCGAAACCGCAAAGUGAGCACCACCCCAACUGCACAAAACGCCAGCUGCAGCCGCACCGCGACCCUACCGCCCACCCCGCGUGAGCCCCUCUUCACACGGGACGCGGCGGGACCGAGGCGGUGCCCUCGCCAAGGUCCCAACGAUGCAGAAGUAUAAAUGAAAACUGACACAUAGUCCGACGCGGAAGUAUAAUCAGCCUUUAGUUAUAAAAUACUUACAAUAUAAAUGCUUUAUAAUUUUGCAGGUUAUUACUCCCUUAUUCCCCAAACGUUGCAUAUUGUUACCUUAUACCUAUGAGUAGGUAAUGUGGAGGUACUCUAUAGUUACAAAUAGGUACGCUGUAAAUUCUGUUUAAUUACACGGUACAUUGCAGGCUGUAAUCUAAAGUGUUACCAAUGUUUAAUUUACAUUAUUCAGACAAAUGGUAACAACAGCUAUAUUAGGCUGCUUUGGAGGAAUAGUUCACCAAAAAUUAAAGUUAUGUUGUUGUUCUAAACUUGUAUGAGUUUCCUUCUGUUGUAGAAUGCAAAAGUAUACAUUUGGAACAAUAUUGGACACCAAACAGUUUCUGUGCCCCUAUGACUUCCAUAUA